This 301-nucleotide ribosomal RNA is filed under the name uncultured bacterium. RNAcentral describes it as "partial 16S ribosomal RNA". It matches the Rfam family "Bacterial small subunit ribosomal RNA", at positions 509 to 807 of the family's 1533-position model. The record is from RNAcentral.
CAGUAGCCGCGGUAAUACAGAGGGUGCAAGCGUUAAUCGGAAUUACUGGGCGUAAAGCGCGCGUAGGUGGUUUGUUAAGUUGGAUGUGAAAGCCCCGGGCUCAACCUGGGAACUGCAUCCAAAACUGGCAAGCUAGAGUACGGUAGAGGGUGGUGGAAUUUCCUGUGUAGCGGUGAAAUGCGUAGAUAUAGGAAGGAACACCAGUGGCGAAGGCGACUAUCUGGGCCAACACUGACACUGAGGCACGAAAGCGUGGGGAGCAAACAGGAUUAGAUACCCGAGUAGUCCCUGUCUCUUAUAC